RNAcentral lists this transfer RNA (93 nucleotides) under Nitrospirales bacterium. Its description in RNAcentral is "tRNA-Sec". The record is from RNAcentral. Lineage: Bacteria; Pseudomonadati; Nitrospirota; Nitrospiria; Nitrospirales.
AGCCCCAAUUGGCCACGGAGGAGACUCAGGAGAUCUUCAGAAUCUCCACGAUCGAGUAUCGUAAACCCCGGUUCCAGGCCGACGGGGCGGCCA